CCUACGGGCGGCACCAGUAGGGAAUCUUCGGCAAUGGACGAAAGUCUGACCGAGCAACGCCGCGUGAGUGAAGAAGGUUUUCGGAUCGUAAAACUCUGUUACUAGAGAAGAACAAGUAGGAGAGUAACUGCUCUUACCUUGACGGUAUCUAACCAGAAAGCCACGGCUAACCACGUGCCAGCAGCCGCGGUAAUACGUAGGUGGCAAGCGUUGUCCGGAUUUAUUGGGCGUAAAGCGAGCGCAGGCGGUCUUUUAAGUCUGAUGUGAAAGCCCUCGGCUCAACCGAGGAAGGUCAUUGGAAACUGGAGGACUUGAGUGCAGAAGAGGAGAGUGGAAUUUCAUGUGUAGCGGUGAAAUGCGUAGAUAUAUGGAGGAACACCAGUGGCGAAGGCGACUCUCUGGUCUGUAACUGACGCUGAGGCUCGAAAGCGUGGGGAGCAAACAGGAUUAGAUACCCCUGUAGUC
Molecule: ribosomal RNA, 465 nt
Filed under: uncultured bacterium
Lineage: Bacteria
Description: bacterial SSU rRNA
Rfam family: Bacterial small subunit ribosomal RNA
Source: RNAcentral